AGAGUUUGAUCCUGGCUCAGGAUGAACGCUAGCGGCAGGCUUAACACAUGCAAGUCGAGGGGCAGCGGGGAGGAAGCUUGCUUUCUCCGCCGGCGACCGGCGCACGGGUGAGUAACACGUAUGCAACCUGCCCCUGUCAGGGGGACAACCCGCCGAAAGGCGGGCUAAACCCGCGUACAUGCCACCGGGGCAUCCCGGAGGCAGGAAAGGCUUCGGCCGGACAGGGAUGGGCAUGCGGCGCAUUAGGCAGUAGGCGGGGUAACGGCCCACCUAACCGACGAUGCGUAGGGGUUCUGAGAGGAAGGUCCCCCACACUGGUACUGAGACACGGACCAGACUCCUACGGGAGGCAGCAGUGAGGAAUAUUGGUCAAUGGUCGGGAGACUGAACCAGCCAAGCCGCGUGAGGGAGGAAGGUACAGAGUAUCGUAAACCUCUUUUGUCAGGGAACAAAGGCGGGGACGUGUCCCCGGAUGAGUGUACCUGAAGAAAAAGCAUCGGCUAACUCCGUGCCAGCAGCCGCGGUAAUACGGAGGAUGCGAGCGUUAUCCGGAUUUAUUGGGUUUAAAGGGUGCGCAGGCGGUCUGUUAAGUCAGCGGUCAAAGCCCGGGGCUCAACCCCGGCCCGCCGUUGAAACUGGCAGUCUCGAGUUGGAGAGAAGUAUGCGGAAUGCGCGGUGUAGCGGUGAAAUGCAUAGAUAUCGCGCAGAACUCCGAUUGCGAAGGCAGCAUGCCGGCUCCACACUGACGCUGAGGCACGAAAGCGUGGGUAUCGAACAGGAUUAGAUACCCUGGUAGUCCACGCAGUAAACGAUGAAUGCUGGCUGUCCGGGGGGAUUGACCCCUGGGUGGCGAAGCGAAAGCGAUAAGCAUUCCACCUGGGGAGUACGCCGGCAACGGUGAAACUCAAAGGAAUUGACGGGGGCCCGCACAAGCGGAGGAACAUGUGGUUUAAUUCGAUGAUACGCGAGGAACCUUACCCGGGCUCAAACGGGGAGUGACUCAGGCAGAGACGCCUGUUUCCCACGGGACACUCCCCGAGGUGCUGCAUGGUUGUCGUCAGCUCGUGCCGUGAGGUGUCGGCUUAAGUGCCAUAACGAGCGCAACCCCCGCGUGCAGUUGCUAACAGAUAACGCUGAGGACUCUGCACGGACUGCCGGCGCAAGCCGCGAGGAAGGCGGGGAUGACGUCAAAUCAGCACGGCCCUUACGUCCGGGGCGACACACGUGUUACAAUGGGUGGUACAGCGGGAAGCCAGGCGGCGACGCCGAGCGGAACCCGAAAUCCACUCUCAGUUCGGAUCGGAGUCUGCAACCCGACUCCGUGAAGCUGGAUUCGCUAGUAAUCGCGCAUCAGCCAUGGCGCGGUGAAUACGUUCCCGGGCCUUGCACACACCGCCCGUCA
Molecule: ribosomal RNA, 1402 nt
Filed under: uncultured bacterium
Lineage: Bacteria
Description: 16S ribosomal RNA
Rfam family: Bacterial small subunit ribosomal RNA
Source: RNAcentral